CCUACGGGAGGCAGCAGUGAGGAAUAUUGGUCAAUGGCCGCAGGUCUGAACCAGCCAAGUCGCGUGAGGGAUGACGGUCCUAUGGAUUGUAAACCUCUUUUGUCAGGGAGCAAAGUGCGCCACGUGUGGCUUUUUGCGAGUACCUGAAGAAAAAGCAUCGGCUAACUCCGUGCCAGCAGCCGCGGUAAUACGGAGGAUGCGAGCGUUAUCCGGAUUUAUUGGGUUUAAAGGGUGCGCAGGCGGACUGUCAAGCCGGCGGUAAAAUUUCGGGGCUCAACCCCGUCGUGCCGUUGAAACUGGCGGUCUUGAGUGAGCGAGAGGUAGGCGGAAUGCGUGGUGUAGCGGUGAAAUGCAUAGAUAUCACGCAGAACUCCGAUUGCGAAGGCAGCAUACCGGAGCGCAACUGACGCUGAAGCACGAAAGCGUGGGUAUCGAACAGGAUUAGAUACCCCAGUAGUC
This 459-nucleotide ribosomal RNA is filed under the name uncultured bacterium. Its description in RNAcentral is "partial 16S ribosomal RNA". It matches the Rfam family "Bacterial small subunit ribosomal RNA", at positions 338 to 795 of the family's 1533-position model. The record is from RNAcentral.